This 154-nucleotide ribosomal RNA is filed under the name Begonia formosana. RNAcentral's name for it is "5.8S ribosomal RNA". It matches the Rfam family "5.8S ribosomal RNA". Rfam says of the family: 5.8S ribosomal RNA (5.8S rRNA) is a component of the large subunit of the eukaryotic ribosome. It is transcribed by RNA polymerase I as part of the 45S precursor that also contains 18S and 28S rRNA. The record is from RNAcentral. Lineage: Eukaryota; Viridiplantae; Streptophyta; Magnoliopsida; Cucurbitales; Begoniaceae.
CUCGACAACGGAUAUCUCGGCUCUCGCAUCGAUGAAGAACGUAGUGAAAAGCGAUACUUGGUGUGAAUUGUAGAAUCCUAUGAACCAUCGAGUUUUUGAAUGCAAGUUGCACCCAAAGCCUUCUGGCCGAGGGCACGUCUUCUUGAGCGUCACG